CCCUUAGAUGUUCUGGGCUGCACACGUGCUACACUGGCAGGUUCAGCGAGCUUCAUGCCCUGGUCUGAAAGGAAUGGGAAAUCUUUUCAAAACCUGCCGUGCUUGGGAUAGAUGUUUGCAAUUAUUCAUCUUCAACGAGGAUUGCCUUGUAAGCGCACGUCAUCAGCGUGCAUUGAAUACGACCCUGUAUUCUGUACACACCGCCCGUCGCUCCUACCGAUUGAAGUUUUCGGUGAGUUGACAGGAGGAUUUUUUUGAAACUGGUUCGCCAGUGGAUUUUAGAUCCAAAUGCCAACGAAUCGAUGGCUUUAGAGGAAGGAGAAGUCGUAACA
RNAcentral lists this ribosomal RNA (332 nucleotides) under uncultured eukaryote. Its description in RNAcentral is "partial 18S ribosomal RNA". It matches the Rfam family "Eukaryotic small subunit ribosomal RNA", at positions 1470 to 1796 of the family's 1831-position model. The record is from RNAcentral.